GGAGUCGGCCAGGUGAUCGCUGCGUUUCUCACGAAAUGUGGAGGAAAGUCCGGGCUCCUUCGGACACGAUGCCAGGUAACGCCUGGGGGGCGCGAGCCCACGGAAAGUGCAACAGAAAGAUACCGCCUGCGCAGGUUUUUCCCUCGGGAAACGCCGGCGGGUAAGGGUGAAAUGGUGCGGUAAGAGCGCACCGCGCGGCCGGUAACGGGCGUGGCACGGCAAACCCCAUCGGGAGCAAGGCCAAAUAGGGAAGUCGCGGGGAAACUCGCAGCGCCGUGUCCGAGCGUGACUUCCGGGUAGGCUGCUACAGGCGUUCGGUGACGGGCGUCGCAGAGGAAUGAUCACCCUCGACAGAACCCGGCUUAUCGGCCGACUCCCCGU
RNAcentral lists this RNase P RNA (381 nucleotides) under Gammaproteobacteria bacterium. Its description in RNAcentral is "RNase P RNA component class A". It matches the Rfam family "Bacterial RNase P class A". From Rfam's summary of the family: Ribonuclease P (RNase P) is a ubiquitous endoribonuclease, found in archaea, bacteria and eukarya as well as chloroplasts and mitochondria. Its best characterised activity is the generation of mature 5'-ends of tRNAs by cleaving the 5'-leader elements of precursor-tRNAs. Cellular RNase Ps are ribonucleoproteins. Lineage: Bacteria; Pseudomonadati; Pseudomonadota; Gammaproteobacteria. The record is from RNAcentral.